Molecule: ribosomal RNA, 604 nt
Filed under: Kluyvera ascorbata
Lineage: Bacteria; Pseudomonadati; Pseudomonadota; Gammaproteobacteria; Enterobacterales; Enterobacteriaceae
Description: partial 23S ribosomal RNA
Rfam family: Bacterial large subunit ribosomal RNA
Source: RNAcentral
UGUUUCGGCUAGGGGGUCAUCCCGACUUACCAACCCGAUGCAAACUGCGAAUACCGAAGAAUGUUAUCACGGGAGACACACGGCGGGUGCUAACGUCCGUCGUGAAGAGGGAAACAACCCAGACCGCCAGCUAAGGUCCCAAAGUCACAGUUAAGUGGGAAACGAUGUGGGAAGGCUCAGACAGCCAGGAUGUUGGCUUAGAAGCAGCCAUCAUUUAAAGAAAGCGUAAUAGCUCACUGGUCGAGUCGGCCUGCGCGGAAGAUGUAACGGGGCUAAACUGUGCACCGAAGCUGCGGCAGCGACACUAUGUGUUGUUGGGUAGGGGAGCGUUCUGUAAGCCGUUGAAGGUGUCCUGUGAGGGGUGCUGGAGGUAUCAGAAGUGCGAAUGCUGACAUAAGUAACGAUAAUGCGGGUGAAAAACCCGCACGCCGGAAGACCAAGGGUUCCUGUCCAACGUUAAUCGGGGCAGGGUGAGUCGACCCCUAAGGCGAGGCCGAAAGGCGUAGUCGAUGGGAAACAGGUUAAUAUUCCUGUACUUGGUGUUACUGCGAAGGGGGGGACGGAGAAGGCUAUGUUAGCCGGGCGACGGUUGUCCCGGUUUAAG